This 486-nucleotide ribosomal RNA is filed under the name Perumytilus purpuratus. RNAcentral describes it as "partial 16S ribosomal RNA". It matches the Rfam family "Bacterial large subunit ribosomal RNA", at positions 1810 to 2608 of the family's 2925-position model. Lineage: Eukaryota; Metazoa; Mollusca; Bivalvia; Mytilida; Mytilidae. The record is from RNAcentral.
AAAACAUUUCUUUUUGUAGUUAUUAAAAGUAUGCUCUGCUCGGUGGUAAAUUUAACAGCGGCCUUAACUUGAGGGUCCAAAGGUAGCAUAAUAAUUCGAUUCUUAAUUGGAGUCUAGUAUGAAGGAGUAUGCAUUAUAUACGCUGUCUCGUAUGAAUAAAUUGAAAUUAAUUUUAAGGUGAAGAAGCCUUAAUAUUUUAGAAAGACGACAAGACCCUAGAAGCUUAAAUUUAUCUUGGAAUAAGUCUUCCAAAAAAAUUUUUGUUGGGGCAACAAAAUAAAAAUGUAUUGUUUUUUAUGUUGUACUGACUGGUGUUAACUUUUAUUAUGAGGUUGGUAAGCUACUCUAGGGAUAACAGCGCAAUCCUUUUUGAUAGUUGGUAUUGACUAAAGGGUUUGCGACCUCGAUGUUGGCUUUAGGUAGCGUAAAAGUGUAGAAGCAUUUAUUAGUGGAUCUGUUCGAUCUUUAAAUCCUAACGUGAUCUGA